This 227-nucleotide ribosomal RNA is filed under the name uncultured bacterium. RNAcentral describes it as "partial 16S ribosomal RNA". It matches the Rfam family "Bacterial small subunit ribosomal RNA", at positions 15 to 231 of the family's 1533-position model. The record is from RNAcentral.
GAUCAUGGCUCAGGAUGAACGCUAGCUACAGGCUUAACACAUGCAAGUCGAGGGGCAGCAUGGUCUUUAGCUUGCUAAGGCCGAUGGCGACCGGCGCACGGGUGAGUAACACGUAUCCAACCUGCCGGUCUACUCUUGAACAGCCUUCUGAAAGGAAGAUUAAUACAAGAUGGCAUCAUGAGUUCACAUGUUCACAUGAUUAAAGGUAUUCCGGUGGACGAUGGGGA